CGGUGAAAUGCGUAGAGAUUGGAGGAACACCAGUGGCGAAGGCGACUUUCUGGUCUGUAACCUGACCUGAGGCGCGAAAGCGUGGGGAGCAAACAGGAUUAGAUACCCUGGUAGUCCACGCCGUAAACGAUGAGUGUAAGUGUUAGGGGUUUCCGCCCUUUAGUGCUGAGUAACGCAUU
RNAcentral lists this ribosomal RNA (179 nucleotides) under Bacillus sp. (in: firmicutes). RNAcentral describes it as "Bacillus sp. (in: Bacteria) partial 16S ribosomal RNA". It matches the Rfam family "Bacterial small subunit ribosomal RNA", at positions 679 to 861 of the family's 1533-position model. The record is from RNAcentral. Lineage: Bacteria; Bacillati; Bacillota; Bacilli; Caryophanales; Bacillaceae.